Molecule: long non-coding RNA, 3027 nt
Organism: Sceloporus undulatus (fence lizard)
Lineage: Eukaryota; Metazoa; Chordata; Lepidosauria; Squamata; Phrynosomatidae
Exons: 3
Source: RefSeq, a predicted model, not a curated record
UACAGUCUCCUUAAGUCAGAAACAACUUGAAGGCACACAAAGACAGCCAGAAGCAAGCUGAUCAAACCACAUUAUGGCUGUCCAAUGAAUGAAAGCAGAAGCAGCAACGCAGGACCAAUCUGCCAAUCAAGUCCUGGCAAAACUCACAAAGCUUAAGUGGGGUUCCAAAUUUGAAAGCUCCUUUUUGCCACUGUUUCUUCCCCACUUCCACAUGCAGUAAGUCAGUCUGUCCAGUGAGUCAGUCUGUCUCAAAAUGGCUCUGCUUUGUACCAUGGAAGCAAUGCCCUUUACCCAAGCCUCACAACAGUUUCCCAACUGCCACCACAACUAGCAAAAGAAAUGGCUAAAGAAGGGAAUGAAGUCAUGCAGUCUCAGAGGAAAUACAAUUUUUUAUUUUGAAGAAACCACAACUCCCUUUACUAUUUGAAGAAGCUGGGAAACUACAGCUGAAUCAUAGCUUAUUCUCUCUAACUGUAUUACAAAAACAGCUUCCCUAAUUCAGUCAUCGUGUGGAACUGUGGUUGAUUUAAAUAGAAAACACCUUGUGAACAUAAAACAGGAAGAGUGUAACAGCAAGAGUUUCAUCACAGCUUGUUCUCACAGCUUUCCAUUUCAUCUGAAUCAUGUCUCCAUCUUCUCAAGCUAAAUUAAAUCACUUUAUGCCUUCCAAAAAUUACUUUCCCUAAUUUAGCCUUAACGUAAAUUUUGAGUACAGUGGUCCCUUCCCUUAUGCAGGGGAUCCAUUCCGGACCCCCCCCCCCCAACGUAAGGGAAAUUCCCGUGUAUGCUCAAGCCCAUGGGGCUUGUGCCUGCGGCAGCGCGGCAACAACAUAUUCCAUGGGUGUGCGACACUGCUCCUUCCAGCACGCCUUUCAGCUUAUGCUGAAAGCUAUGUAUAUCAUGCCUGCGUAUGACGAGGACACACUGUAAUUCUUUUACAGCUUUUUGUAUAAAAUAAUGAUUGACAAUCAAUGCACUGGUUUACUUGCAAUACUGAAUGAAAACGCUUAGUAACUAAUUAAAUACAGGAAUCUAGCAACACAGGGUGAAUGCAAGUUAGCAUUCAUAUGAAUGAAGUUUACCUAUAUGAACUUAGAGAAAAUUUGGUCAGAUUUGUUUCAUCAGCAACAGCCACUUGUUUACAGGCCUUCAUAUGAGUAUACUGUUUCAUACAAAUAUACAUACCAAUGUGGUUCGAGUAAGAAAGUAAAAUAUAGUGCUCUAAUUAUAAUGCUAUCAAAGCAACAGAAAAACACAAACUCCCAAUUCAUUAUAACUUAAAAACUAUUCCAAACAACAGAGUGGUUGCAUCAAAUAUAGUGUGUAAGAUGGUGCUUCCUUUUCAUCAGAUCUAAAUAAAUUAUUUCACUGAAAACACAGAUGUGCUGAGGUGGUAGCUGAACAUUUCCUAACCAAAAAGUACUACUGGUUAAUCCAAGCACAGAUGGAUCUUAUGCCUGUUUCAAUGUUUUCAUCAUGACAUUUAUACAGUUGUAGCAAACAAUGUUUCUCACUUGCUGUAUAGUUAGAUUAAUUUAUCUACUCUAAGAUUGUACAAAACAGAGUGGAAAGCCAUAUUGAAGGGAAGGAAAAGAGGUACUGAAGUUUUUUACUCUUUUUGUUUCCUUCCUGCAUUUUUUCUGCAAAUCUCUCUUAUUCUUCCCAUCCAUCCCCCUGGGCUUUCAGUAUCUUCAUUGAGAUGUCAAAGGACAGAAACAGAAAAAAAAAUUCAGCCCACAAUAUAAGUUCAGUAACCUCAAAGCUAUCCAAAGUUCCAAGUUGCUAUAUUAUUUAGAAAUUUUCAUCCAACAAUUGGUUGAUAUGGCUUCUUCUGAAAUUUCAGCAUGAUGACUCAGUAUGAAUUUAUGUAAGUCAUAUCCACGUGUAUUUAUUUAGACAUUCAAGACAAUUAUGAGCAACAGUUAUUGAUAAAAAUGCCAAAUUAAAAUAUGAAGUUGCAUUCAUUCUAACAGAGAAAAUUAAAUUAUGAUGUAAAGUCUUCCAAAAAUACAAUUGCUGGUUACCUCAUCAUGUGUGUAUCUAUACUCUGCCUUCUUAGAUUUGAGGUCCCAUAAUGCCACUGUUCCCGAUUCAAAACCAAUCAGGAGCUGUAAUAAAUCACAAAUGAAAAUGUGUAUAACCGGCAUUAAAAAUAAAUUAUUUAUUUACUAUGAUAUGGUGAAAUUUAGAAUAACUGUACAAACACAACACUGAAAGAAAUAUUAUAAUGUUGUAGUUACGCUACUGGAAUUUAACAAAAAUAUGAGAUCUUAUUUUAACAUAGUUCUGUAACAUGUCAACUGACUGAGUGUUCCUUCACCAUAUAUGUAUAUUAUGAUAUCCAAUUUCAACAAACAUUUAAAAAGUAUAUUUCCAGAAUGAUUUGCUUCACAGUUCACAGCAGUAUCAAUCCAGCUACAGAUGAACAAAUAAGAGGUAUUAAAGCUAUAAAAAACCCAGAAAACUGGUAAAACGUGUACAACUGUGAACUGUACCUUUUAGAUCAUUUUGAAGCUACUGUAUCAGCUUGUGGUGAACCACUCAUAUGAAGCAUAUGCCAUGCACUGAACUGAACUGUUUUGCAUGCAUGAUCUGAUCACUUCACCCUGAAGAAAAUAUGAUCUUAAACAGUAAAAGAAGUUGAUUUUAGGAAAUAAAUUAACUUUGUACCCUUGGUUUUCUGCUAAUUUUCUCUCUAAAAUGGUUUGUCCACUCUUCUUCCAACAUGCAAACUGACUUCCAAAUCUUCACCUUGCAACUGGCUUAAAAUGUAACACUAAAGUACUCACUGCCAGAAAAGGUGGAGGAAGAAUAACAAGCAAUUCUGAUCACCAUACACAAUAUGUCAUUUAGUCCAUACCAAUUCAGUUUGUAGGUAGACUACUGCUUACUUGAAUGUACCCCACAUAUGUAUAAUCUAGGCCUAUGCAAUGGCCUCCUUACAAAAUUCAGGGUUCUUCUCUAUUUGGGCAGUUCCAUAUCUAAUUUGCCCAGAGUUAGACAUGAAUUAAAAUUUAAAAAUAUACA